This 481-nucleotide ribosomal RNA is filed under the name uncultured bacterium. RNAcentral's name for it is "partial 16S ribosomal RNA". It matches the Rfam family "Bacterial small subunit ribosomal RNA", at positions 28 to 523 of the family's 1533-position model. The record is from RNAcentral.
GACGAACGCUGGCGGCGUGCCUAACACAUGCAAGUCGAACGGAGAUACGAUUUCGGUUGUAUCUUAGUGGCGAACGGGUGAGUAACGCGUGAGCAACCUGACCUUCAGAGGGGGAUAACAUUUGGAAACAGAUGCUAAUACCGCAUAAGACCACGACCCGACAUCGGGAUGAGGUCAAAGGAGCAAUCCGCUGAAGGAGGGGCUCGCGUCCCAUUAGAUAGAUGGCGGGGUAACGGCCCACCAUGUCGACGAUGGGUAGCCGAGCUGAGAGGCUGAUCGGCCACACUGGAACUGAGAAACGGUCCAGACUCCUACGGGAGGCAGCAGUGGGGAAUAUUGGGCAAUGGGCGCAAGCCUGACCCAGCAACGCCGCGUGAGGGAAGAAGGCUUUCGGGUUGUAAACCUCUGUCCUUGGUGACGAAACAAAUGACGGUAGCCAAGGAGGAAGCCCCGGCUAACUACGUGCCAGCCGCCGCGGUAA